AGCUGUCUGCACUGUUGGUUGAAGAUUUCCAAAAUGCCUGAAGAGUGCACUGUCAGCUGCAGAUACCUGAGUCAACAUGAAACCUGUACUUUUUUUCUCAAGGUCAUAUAGCUCUGUAUCAGAUAGCAACAGAGCUUCAGCAAUAACAGCAGAUGCCAUCUUAGAUUAAUGAAACUCUUCAAAACAGGCCAUCAAUCACUGAACAUGUGCAUGAAGAAAUGACCUUCAUGUCUGUUUCUCGUUCUAAAUAAUUUCUCUCUCCUUGUACAAAUUCUUCAAGGAAUGUUGUUAAAAUGGAUGAGGCAAUGUACACAACGCACAGAGCAUCUUGGAAGACAAAUACCCUAUAAAACUAUAGUGUCAUCAUUAUUAUUAUUGUUAUAUUAUAGUGAGAAUUUCUGAGAAGUCAGCUGGCUGAAUAUAUUAUAGUAA
Molecule: long non-coding RNA, 432 nt
Organism: Canis lupus familiaris (dog)
Lineage: Eukaryota; Metazoa; Chordata; Mammalia; Carnivora; Canidae
Exons: 4
Source: RefSeq, a predicted model, not a curated record